This 1229-nucleotide ribosomal RNA is filed under the name Gambierdiscus sp. MMEG9. Its description in RNAcentral is "eukaryotic LSU rRNA". It matches the Rfam family "Eukaryotic large subunit ribosomal RNA", at positions 42 to 1281 of the family's 3401-position model. Lineage: Eukaryota; Dinophyceae; Gonyaulacales; Pyrocystaceae. The record is from RNAcentral.
UUAAGUAGGCGGAGGAAAUGACACAAACAUGGAUUCACUGAGUAACUGCGAGUGACAUGUGAUUUGCUCACAGCUGAUAUUCUUUGCUGUCUGCUUUGACAUGAGGACUUUGAGUGCGGUGCCAAUGGUGGUGUAAGUGUGAGCCAUCUUGGAAAAGAGGAGAGUGUGCACUGACAAGGGUGAGAAGCCUGUGUGUGCUUGCAAAAUCUCCAUAUGGGGGUCACGCUUUGAGAAUCAUGCUCUUAAAGUGGGUGGUAGACUCUUCUCAAAGCUGAGUACAGAACUGGGACCGACAGGGAAGAAGUACCAUGAGGGAAGUGUGAAAAUGACUUUGGAAAGAGACUUAAAAGAGCCUGUACUUGCUGAAGGAUAUGCAUACAGCAUGCUUGCAUGUGAGAUGAUUGCUGUGUGUAUGAGUCUGACUUUGGCUGGAUGGCCAUGGCCGUGUGCCAUGGACACUUGGCCACCCAAUGUGUAUCCUCUUGUGUGUGCCAGCAUGUGGGAGACAGUCAGUGUUUGAGCGCAGUGGUUGCUGUGUCUGGGGAUACAUCAGAUGUGCACUCAAAGAUCUGAGCAUGUUGAGAAGCAGGUGCAGAAGGGCCCUCCUGUCUGUAUGACCCGUCUUGAAACACGGACCAAGGAGUCUAGCAUGAGUGCAAGCAUAUGGGACCGAAGGCUCUGUGUGCAAUGAAGGUGGAGUCCCAGAUUUGUGCAUGAGUGUCCAAACAAGCAGGAGGACAAGGUUUGAGUGUGAGCAUUCCUGACAGGACCCGAAAGAUGGUGAACUAUGCCCGGAAAGGGCCAAGUCAGGGGAAACUCUGGUGGAGGCUCGUAGCGUUACUGACGUGCAAAUCGUUCGUCACACCUGGGUAUGGGGGCGAAAGACUAAUCGAACCAUCUAGUAGCUGGUUCCCUCUGAAGUUUCCCUCAGGAUAGCUGAACUUGCAGGACUUUCACCAGGUAAAGCGAGUGAUUGGAGGAAUUGGGGGUUGCAGACCUUUGACCUAUUCUCAAACUCUUAAUGGGUGUGCUGUGUGGUUGCUUAGCUGAACCAACAGCUAAUGAUGACUCUUAGUGGGCCACUUUUGGUAAGCAGAACUGGCGAUGAGGGGUGAACCUGAUGAUGGGUUAAGGCACUGAAGUUCUUGCUCAUCAGAAACUGUAAAGGGUGUUGGCUCAUUCUGACAGCAGGUCGGUGGUCAUGGAAGUUGAAAUCCGCUUGGGAGUGU